AGUGAACGCUGGCGGUAGGCCUAACACAUGCAAGUCGAACGGCCGCACAGUAAGAGCUUGCUCUUACGGGUGGCGAGUGGCGGACGGGUGAGGAAUACAUCGGAAUCUACUUUUUCGUGGGGGAUAACGUAGGGAAACUUACGCUAAUACCGCAUACGACCUACGGGUGAAAGCAGGGGAUCUUCGGACCUUGCGCGUUUGAAUGAGCCGAUGUCGGAUUAGCUAGUUGGCGGGGUAAAGGCCCACCAAGGCGACGAUCCGUAGCUGGUCUGAGAGGAUGAUCAGCCACACUGGAACUGAGACACGGUCCAGACUCCUACGGGAGGCAGCAGUGGGGAAUAUUGGACAAUGGGCGCAAGCCUGAUCCAGCCAUACCGCGUGGGUGAAGAAGGCCUUCGGGUUGUAAAGCCCUUUUGUUGGGAAAGAAAAGCAGCAGGUUAAUACCCCGCUGUUCUGACGGUACCCAAAGAAUAAGCACCGGCUAACUUCGUG
Molecule: ribosomal RNA, 492 nt
Filed under: uncultured bacterium
Lineage: Bacteria
Description: partial 16S ribosomal RNA
Rfam family: Bacterial small subunit ribosomal RNA
Source: RNAcentral